GAUGAAGAACGCAGCGAAAUGCGAUAAGUAAUGUGAAUUGCAGAAUUCAGUGAAUCAUCGAACCUUUGAACGCACAUUGCGCCCCCUGGUAUUCCGGGGGGCAUGCCUGUUCGAGCGUCAUUUCAACCCUCAAGCUCUGCUUGGUAUUGAGUCCAUGUCAGCAAUGGCAGGCUCCAAAAUCAGUGGCGGCGCCGCUGGGUCCUGAACGUAGUAAUAUCUCUCGUUACAGGUGCUCGGCGUGCUUCUGCCAAAACCCCAAUUUUUCUAUGGUUGACCUCGGAUCAGGUAGGGAUACCCGCUGAACUUAAGCAUAUCAAUAAGCGGAGGA
Molecule: unclassified non-coding RNA, 328 nt
Filed under: soil metagenome
Description: partial contains 5.8S ribosomal RNA, internal transcribed spacer 2, and large subunit ribosomal RNA
Rfam family: 5.8S ribosomal RNA (bases 1-120)
Source: RNAcentral